AUCAUGUCACUCGUAUUCCUCACUUGAGGCUUUUGAUAGGAUUAGGCUUGGGUUGAGCAUCAUGAGGAAAUUCAUUCCAAAGUGUAACUUCGACCCCCUUUAACAGCACAGUGUUCCUAUUACUCAAAUGCGAAGAAAAUAAAAUGUAAAGAGUAAAUCUUGAUGCUUGAAAUUCUUUAGAGCGAUUUUCUUCAGGACACACCGGAUUCCUCAAUUUCAGUAUCUUCAUGAGGAAUAUCAAUUUCAUC
This 248-nucleotide long non-coding RNA is filed under the name Hordeum vulgare. Its description in RNAcentral is "long non-coding RNA (HVUL_LNC012149)". Lineage: Eukaryota; Viridiplantae; Streptophyta; Magnoliopsida; Poales; Poaceae. The record is from RNAcentral.